GUGAGCCAGUACAGGAUGGACCCGCGUCUGAUUAGCUAGUUGGUAAGGUAACGGCUUACCAAGGCGACGAUCAGUAGCCGACCUGCGAGGGUGAUCGGCCACAUUGGAACUGAGACACGGUCCAAACCCCUACGGGAGGCAGCAGUGGGGAAUAUUGCACAAUGGGCGAAAGCCUGAUGCAGCAACGCCGCGUGAGUGAUGAAGGCCUUCGGGUCGGAAAACUCUGUCCUCAAGGAAGAUAAUGACGGUACUUGAGGAGGAAGCCCCGGCUAACUACGUGCCAGCAGCCGCGGUAAUACGUAGGGGGCUAGCGUUAUCCGGAUUUACUGGGCGUAAAGGGUGCGUAGGCGGUCUUUCAAGUCAGGAGUGAAAGGCUACGGCUCAACCGUAGUAAGCUCUUGAAACUGGGAGACUUGAGUGCAGGAGAGGAGAGUGGAAUUCCUAGUGUAGCGGUGAAAUGCGUAGAUAUUAGGAGGAACACCAGUUGCGAAGGCGGCUCUCUGGACUGU
This 509-nucleotide ribosomal RNA is filed under the name Clostridioides difficile. RNAcentral's name for it is "bacterial SSU rRNA". It matches the Rfam family "Bacterial small subunit ribosomal RNA", at positions 210 to 737 of the family's 1533-position model. Lineage: Bacteria; Bacillati; Bacillota; Clostridia; Peptostreptococcales; Peptostreptococcaceae. The record is from RNAcentral.